ACGAAGAGAAUUUUUUGAUUGCGGAGUAUUCUACUCUUUUGGUCCACAAUACCCACCGGUACCUUCUCGUAUGACAUAUCCUCAUGGAGUGAAAGAGUUUGUGAGCAAAGAUGUGAGAGGGGUUCGGGUUGUACUUGUGUAGCAUGGACACAUGAAACACAUUAUGGACCUUGAAUAGUUCUGGAGGUAGUGUCAGUCUGUAGGUGGCGGUGUCAAUUCUGUUUAAGAUUUUAAAUAACUCAAUAAACUGAGAAUUUGGUUUCCUCCUCU
This 270-nucleotide long non-coding RNA is filed under the name Carica papaya (papaya). RNAcentral's name for it is "long non-coding RNA (CPAP_LNC008008)". Lineage: Eukaryota; Viridiplantae; Streptophyta; Magnoliopsida; Brassicales; Caricaceae. The record is from RNAcentral.